UACGAAGGGUGCGAGCGUUAAUCGGAAUUACUGGGCGUAAAGCGCACGUAGGCGGUUCGUUAAGUCGGAUGUGAAAUCCCUGGGCUCAACCUGGGAGCUGCAUUCGAUACUGGCGAGCUUGAGUACUGUAGAGGGUAGUGGAAUUUCCGGUGUAGCGGUGAAAUGCGUAGAGAUCGGAAGGAACACCAGUGGCGAAGGCGGCUACCUGGACAGAUACUGACACUGAGGCGCGAAAGCGUGGGGAGCAAACAGGAUUAGAUACCCUGGUAGU
Molecule: ribosomal RNA, 271 nt
Filed under: uncultured bacterium
Lineage: Bacteria
Description: partial 16S ribosomal RNA
Rfam family: Bacterial small subunit ribosomal RNA
Source: RNAcentral